GCCAAAUUGCCUGUGAAGGAGCAUAUUGCUGACAGAGAAGCUGUCACUUGUAUAAAGCUGUCACCAGAAAACGUGCCUGAGUGUUUGAGGAGCGAAGGAAAACAAAACUCACAACUUCUGAGGGACUGCAUCUGAGUGCUGGCUCUCCAAACUGCUGCUCACUUCGUGGUGCUCAGCUCUGAAGAUCUUGCUUAAAGAAAUCCCACGGAGGUCAGAGCCAGUUCCUGCUAUCAAAGUACAACAAUGCCCCAGGAGUUUGGGGAGAUCAAGGAAGAGCUGGAAGGCAAAGAAGACCACAAGUAGCUGGACAGCUACUGAAAUAAUUCCUGGCAGAUUUGCAUAACCUGCACUUUAAAUCCUCAAAUCAGCAGCUGGAUUAACUCCCUGCAAUGCUGCAAACUGUUGGGUGACCCAGGCUGUGAACCCAGACCCGG
Molecule: long non-coding RNA, 434 nt
Filed under: Chloebia gouldiae (Gouldian finch)
Lineage: Eukaryota; Metazoa; Chordata; Aves; Passeriformes; Passeridae
Description: Erythrura gouldiae (Gouldian finch) lncRNA (ENSEGOG00005003183.1)
Source: RNAcentral